UACGUAGGGGGCAAGCGUUGUCCGGAAUCAUUGGGCGUAAAGCGCGCGUAGGCGGCCCGGUAAGUCCGCUGUAAAAGUCCAGGGCUCAACCCUGGAAAGCCGGUGGAUACUGUCGGGCUAGAGUCCGGAAGAGGCGAGCGGAACAAGUGGUGGAGCGGUGAAAUGCGUAGAUAUCACUUGGAACGCCAAUGGUGAAGACAGCUCGCUGGGGGGUGUCCUGACGCUGAGGCGCGAAAGCCAGGGGAGCGAACGGG
RNAcentral lists this ribosomal RNA (254 nucleotides) under uncultured bacterium. RNAcentral's name for it is "partial 16S ribosomal RNA". It matches the Rfam family "Bacterial small subunit ribosomal RNA", at positions 524 to 776 of the family's 1533-position model. The record is from RNAcentral.